RNAcentral lists this ribosomal RNA (560 nucleotides) under uncultured bacterium. RNAcentral describes it as "bacterial SSU rRNA". It matches the Rfam family "Bacterial small subunit ribosomal RNA", at positions 338 to 916 of the family's 1533-position model. The record is from RNAcentral.
CCUACGGGAGGCAGCAGUGGGGAAUCUUGCGCAAUGGGCGAAAGCCUGACGCAGCCAUGCCGCGUGAAUGAUGAAGGUCUUAGGAUUGUAAAAUUCUUUCACCGGGGACGAUAAUGACGGUACCCGGAGAAGAAGCCCCGGCUAACUUCGUGCCAGCAGCCGCGGUAAUACGAAGGGGGCUAGCGUUGCUCGGAAUUACUGGGCGUAAAGGGCGCGUAGGCGGACAGUUUAGUCAGAGGUGAAAGCCCAGGGCUCAACCUUGGAACUGCCUUUGAUACUGGCUGUCUUGAGUACGGGAGAGGUGUGUGGAACUCCGAGUGUAGAGGUGGAAUUCGUAGAUAUUCGGAAGAACACCAGUGGCGAAGGCGACACACUGGCCCGUUACUGACGCUGAGGCGCGAAAGCGUGGGGAGCAAACAGGAUUAGAUACCCUGGUAGUCCACGCCGUAAACGAUGAGUGCUAGUUGUCGGCAUGCAUGCAUGUCGGUGACGCAGCUAACGCAUUAAGCACUCCGCCUGGGGAGUACGGUCGCAAGAUUAAAACUCAAAGGAAUUGACGG